GAUGAACGCUGGCGGCGUGCCUAAUACAUGCAAGUCGAGCGAACGGACGAGAAGCUUGCUUCUCUGAUGUUAGCGGCGGACGGGUGAGUAACACGUGGAUAACCUACCUAUAAGACUGGGAUAACUUCGGGAAACCGGAGCUAAUACCGGAUAAUAUUUUGAACCGCAUGGUUCAAAAGUGAAAGACGGUCUUGCUGUCACUUAUAGAUGGAUCCACGCUGCAUUAGCUAGUUGGUAAGGUAACGGCUUACCAAGGCAACGAUGCAUAGCCGACCUGAGAGGGUGAUCGGCCAAACUGGAACUGAGACACGGUCCAGACUACUACGGGAGGCAGCAGUAGGGAAUCUUCCGCAAUGGGCGAAAGCCUGACGGAGCAACGCCGCGUGAGUGAUGAAGGUCUUCGGAUCGUAAAACUCUGUUAUUAGGGAAGAACAUAUGUGUAAGUAACUGUGCACAUCUUGACGGUACCUAAUCAGAAAGCUACGGCUAACUACGUG
This 497-nucleotide ribosomal RNA is filed under the name uncultured bacterium. Its description in RNAcentral is "partial 16S ribosomal RNA". It matches the Rfam family "Bacterial small subunit ribosomal RNA", at positions 28 to 507 of the family's 1533-position model. The record is from RNAcentral.